AGCUUUGCGCAGUGCAGUGUCGUAGCCAAUGAGGUUUAUCUGAGGCACGAUUAUGGCUAAUUGAAAACUUUUCCCAGAAUCAUGUGGAGAACCUCUUUAAAAUCCACGACCCAUAAUCCCGAGUCUCACCCCGUCCUUUCAAGCAGUCUCUGGGAGA
RNAcentral lists this small nuclear RNA (157 nucleotides) under Chinchilla lanigera (long-tailed chinchilla). RNAcentral's name for it is "U4 spliceosomal RNA (ENSCLAG00000021096.1)". The stretch from base 1 to 82 matches the Rfam family "U4 spliceosomal RNA". Rfam says of the family: U4 small nuclear RNA (U4 snRNA) is a component of the major U2-dependent spliceosome. The structure of U4 snRNA from yeast and human has been reported. The record is from Rfam by way of RNAcentral. Lineage: Eukaryota; Metazoa; Chordata; Mammalia; Rodentia; Chinchillidae.